GCGCGCUGGUCUUGUGAAAGCGGAAGUGGGGCGCGCAUGUGUCAUCAUUAGAGCAGCACGCGCGACUUCCCCCUUGUUCAAAUUUUUCUGCACUUCUUUUUAUUUGGUAAACCAGGGCUAAUCUGGCUAAUCGUCUCUCCGUGGCUGCCGUGUUAGUGACCCAGUAUGGACAUCCAGAGUAUUGAACCAAUGACACUCGGCUCUCCAGCCUCCCCCAAGCCUGGGGCUCAGUUUUUACCUGGGUUUCUGAUGGGAGACCUGCCUGCUCCUGUCACACCUCAGCCCAGGUCUUUUGGGUUGACAGGAGGUGGGGCAGAAACCAGAUCUUCUCUUCUGGCAGUUGGGUCUCCUCCACAGCCGGUGGUCCCAACGCCUAAAGACAAGAGUGGAGCCCCUCCGGUCAGAAGCAUCUAUGAUGACCUCAACGGCUCCAGUGUGGGAAUGUCACCUCUUGCUGCUCGCAAACAACCAUUUGCUGGAGUACACACACCUUUGUCUGGUCUAACAGGGACGCCAGGAACAGUGUCUAAUUUAUUUAGCCCUGCGGGGCAGCAGAGGAAAUCAACACUUUCCCCAGCUCAAGUAGAUCCGUUCUUCACACAAGGAGAUGCUCUGUCCUCGGAAGACCAGCUAGAUGACACCUGGGUCACAGUGUUUGGGUUCCCUCCAGCAUCUGCAUCAUACAUCCUUUUACAGUUUGCACAGUAUGGAAACAUAUUAAAACAUGUGAUGUCUAAUACAGGCAACUGGAUGCAUGUUCAGUAUCAGUCUAAACUGCAGGCACGAAAAGCUCUCAGUAAAGAUGGAAAGAUAUUUGGAGAAGCCAUAAUGAUUGGCGUCAAACCGUGUAUUGAUAAAAGUGUAAUGGAGAGUUCAGACAAGAGCAUUACUUCCAGUUCUGUGUUCACACCCCCAGUGAAGGCUCCCAGCACCCCCAGUCACCCUCUAUCAACUCCCCGAUCUGUCAUGAGACCCCUCAGUGCUGCUUACAAAGCAUCCAGCAGUGACUACCAGGUUGUGUCAGAUCAACAGACACCAAAAAAGGAUGAGAGUCUGGUAUCAAAAGCAAUGGAGUAUAUGUUUGGAUGGUAAUCUUUCACUCACAUGGUCCUGAUGAAAAAGCUCUGAGACCAUCAACAGCCUCUGAUGUGUUGACAUUGCUCUAAAAACUGACGUUGGGUUUUCUGAGCACAAGCACUGAGUGAAUACAAAAGCACUUUGUCUUUGCAGACUAAUCGACUUUGCGUGCUGUUUUACGGAAGAUGGACUAUUGAGUGUUUCACAUGGACUGUUCUUAACUGCUGGGUUUGGAGUCGUGUGGUUUGAAGUUAGUCCCUCCUGUCUGUCCUCAAAAUCAUACAGACUUACCCACUUAAUCAUAUGCAUUAAGUGUUUCAGGAACAAAUCAUUCACGGGACCCUAUUGUAGAAAACCCGAAAUUCUUGCCUGACAUAAUUCAUGGUUAUGAUCAGCUUUCUCAGUUUAUGUAUAAAAAUGGAUCUCAUAAGAAUAUCAUUGACACCUACAGCUUUUAGAGAUCAAGGCCUCAAUCUAGGAUUUCUCUUUUCAUUGGUUUACAUACCUCUGUUUUUAGUUUUUUUGUGGGUUUCCACUAACUUUAUCAGUUAUUUUAAUGGGACAGAAUCUGUUUUUUUAGAAAUGUCUGAAUUUGAAAAUGCCUCUACUCUUUAAUAAACAAUGUCUGAUUAAAAACUA
Carassius carassius (crucian carp) is the source of this 1716-nucleotide RNA transcript. It is a transcript of the gene named nucleoporin NUP35, with no coding region annotated. The record is from RefSeq and is a predicted model, not a curated record. NCBI's taxonomy places the organism in Eukaryota, Metazoa, Chordata, Actinopteri, Cypriniformes, Cyprinidae. The transcript has 10 exons.